UACAGAGGGUGCGAGCGUUGUUCGGAAUUAUUGGGCGUAAAGGGCGCGUAGGCGGCCUGAUAAGUAGGGGGUGAAAUCUUGCGGCUCAACCGCAAGGCUGCCUUCUAAACUGUCAGGCUGGAGCACGGUAGAGGCAGAUGGAAUUCCCGGUGUAGCGGUGGAAUGCGUAGAGAUCGGGAAGAACACCAGUGGCGAAGGCGGUCUGCUGGGCCGUUGCUGACGCUGAGGCGCGACAGCGUGGGGAGCAAACAGG
This 253-nucleotide ribosomal RNA is filed under the name uncultured bacterium. RNAcentral describes it as "partial 16S ribosomal RNA". It matches the Rfam family "Bacterial small subunit ribosomal RNA", at positions 524 to 776 of the family's 1533-position model. The record is from RNAcentral.